Oncorhynchus tshawytscha (Chinook salmon) is the source of this 1746-nucleotide long non-coding RNA. The record is from Ensembl. NCBI's taxonomy places the organism in Eukaryota, Metazoa, Chordata, Actinopteri, Salmoniformes, Salmonidae.
UGGGUAUUGGACUGGGGUUCUGAUCAAGACUAUAUAAUGGUGUGGUCUUAUUCAGACAGGUUGAUUUAUCACUUAGCAGACUUGGGUUCAAAUGCUUUUCAAAAUACUUGAAACACUUUCAGCGUUUGCUUUUGCCUGCCCGGGGUGCCAGAUGAACAGGGUUGGGUCGUUUGUGACAGUUUCAUAUUCUAUUGGAUCCAUUGCGCCAGGCAAGCUCAAUCAAGCCCAGAAAGAGGAUAUGAAAGGAUUUGAACCCAGAGCUGCUACGUGAUAAAUCAGCCUAUCUGAAUAAGAUCUCACUGUUGUAUGGACUUGAGCAGAAACCCAGUAUCCAGCUUCAGGCACGUAGAAAUAGACAGUACUAGAAAGUAAUAGAUUUUUAUUUUUUAUUUAUUUUUACUAGGCAAGUCAGUUAAGAACAAAUUCUUAUUUUCAAUGACGGCCUAGGAACAAACAGUGUUGAUCCUGGUUAUGAUGUCCUGCUGAGGACAGAACUAGUUGUGGCACAGUGUUGAUCCUGGUUGUGAUGUCCUGCUGAGGACAGAACUAGUUGUGGCACAGUGUUGAUCCUGGCUGUGAUGUCCUGCUGAGGACAGAACUAGUUGUAGGGACGUGGAUGGAGGAAUGGGGGUGGAUGGAGGAAUGGGGGUGGAUGGAGGAGUGGGGGUGGAUGGAGGAGUGGAUGGGGACGUUAACUGCCUUGUUCAGGGGCAGAACGACCUUGUCAGCUCGGGAUUUGAACUUGCAACCUUUCGGUUACUAGUCCAACGCUCUAACCACUAGGCUACGCUGCCACCCAGAUAUGUAUAGCAUUAGUAGACAGGUGUUCUAAUAUCAGAAAUGUACAACUGUUUGCUUAUGUGACCUUUCAAGGCAUUCAUAGUUUGAUUAAAUCAUAUGUUGAGGUUUCCAUGCCCCGGCUUGACAUUUGAAUUAAAUCAUAAAUUAUAGUCCUUGCCAUAUCUACUCAAAGUCAGCGGGAUUGCAUGGCACACUGUGCAAAGAGUCUGGGUGUUUUCAACCACUGACAAACGGCUGGAUUCUUGUGAAACUGGCAUUGGCUCCAACUGGGGCAAAAUGCCAUGAUGCCCCUGGCUCCAACUGGGGCAAAAUGCCAUGAUGCCCCUGGUUCCAACUGGGGCAAAAUGCCAUGAUGCCCCUGGUUCCAACUGGGGCAAAAUGACAUGAGGGGUGGAGGAGUGGGGGUGGAUGGGGAAGGGAUGGAGGAGUGGGGGGGUGGAUGGAGGAGUGGGGAGGGAUGUAAGAGGGAUGGAGGAUGGGUGGAGGAGUGGGGGUGGAUGGAGGAGUGGGGUGGACGGAGGAGUGGAUGGAGGAGUGGAGGUGGAUGGAGGAGUGGGGGUGGAUGGAGGAGUGGAGGUGGAUGGAGGAGUGCGGGUGGAUGGAGAAGUGGGGGUGGAUGGAGGAGUGGGGGUGGAUGGAGGAGUGGAUGGAGGAGUGGGGGUGGAUGAGGGAUGGAGGAGUGGGGGUGGAUGAGGGACGGAGGAGUCGGGUGGAUGGAGGAGUGGGGGUGGAUGAGGGAUGGAGGAGUGGGGGUGGACGAGGGAUGGAGGAGAUGGAGGAGUGGAGGUGGAUGGAGGAGUGGAGGUGGAUGGAGGAGUGGAGGUGGAUGGAGGAGUGGAGGUGGAUGGAGGAGUGGGGGUGGAUGGAGGAGUGGAGGUGGAUGGAGGAGUGGGGGUGGAUGGAGGAGUGGAGGUGGAUGGAGGAGUGGGGGUGGAUGGAGGAGUG